Molecule: long non-coding RNA, 872 nt
Organism: Gallus gallus (chicken)
Lineage: Eukaryota; Metazoa; Chordata; Aves; Galliformes; Phasianidae
Source: Ensembl
AUACCAACUCAUUUGUGUUUCUGUGAGACAGACCACUGGUUGGCACUGAGCUCUGUCCUACACAAGUCAGAAGAGUUCAGACUGCCCCUGCAGGGAGCCUGGUGCAGGCAGGGAACGCAGUGGAAAGCUGCAGCUGUUUGCUAUCAGCCUGAACCACACAGCACGAAGGAGAGAAGGAACUUUACUGUGGUGAACUGCUGACUGACAGGACUGGGGGUGAGGAUGCUCCUAGCAUGGAGGUGGCUCUGUGCAUCUCUGGUCAAGAUUUUGGGCUGUGUACUUUAUUCCUGUGGGACUCUGCUUGCAUCACUACAGUAAGGAAAACAGCUGGGUGAAGCUGAUGAACAUUGCUCCUUGCUGCCUGUAUUUACAGUUCUCUCCAUGGGCCCUGCUCUAGCAGGAGACAUGGAGGUUGCAGAAGCUAUUCAACAGUGUAUGCAGUGUUUCCAUCUGUCUCAUAAAUGCCAAAUAACUGCUGCUUCCCCAUGGACAAACAUCUUCCCGUUGCUGACAAUUCAUCCAGAAUGAUACAUCAAAGCAUUAAAGACACUUACCCAGUUUCAAACAAUGCCAGCAUCUUUUCAGGUGCUUGCUUCCAGGUCCUCGUUGGCUCUGUACACAUCAUCAGCACAGCAGUAUGACCAUCAGCAGGUCUGCCCCGUCCUGCAUUGGUGAUACCUCGUGCUGUAAGUGUGGAUGCAAAAGCAUCUGGUCCUGGGGCUAUUAGAGACCAGCACAGUUCUCCAUCAAAGAUCUUGGUUCUUGAAGUAGCUGAAGGGUUAUUUUUCAACCAGAGUGGAAGCUGAACCAUGGAACAGGGUGUACUUUGCUCUUGAAAUUGGUGUACUAUUCCAUUCAGAAUGUAGCUCUUU